Molecule: ribosomal RNA, 649 nt
Filed under: uncultured Atheliaceae
Lineage: Eukaryota; Fungi; Basidiomycota; Agaricomycetes; Atheliales; Atheliaceae
Description: eukaryotic LSU rRNA
Rfam family: Eukaryotic large subunit ribosomal RNA
Source: RNAcentral
CAUAUCAAUAAGCGGAGGAAAAGAAACUAACAAGGAUUCCCCUAGUAACUGCGAGUGAAGCGGGAAAAGCUCAAAUUUAAAAUCUGGCGGUCUUGCGGCCGUCCGAGUUGUAAUCUGGAGAAGUGUCUUCCGCGUCGGACCGUGUACAAGUCUUCUGGAAGGGAGCGUCAUAGAGGGUGAGAAUCCCGUCUUUGACACGGACUACCGAUGCUUUUGUGAUGCGCUCUCGAAGAGUCGAGUUGUUUGGGAAUGCAGCUCAAAAUGGGUGGUAAAUUCCAUCUAAAGCUAAAUAUUGGCGAGAGACCGAUAGCGAACAAGUACCGUGAGGGAAAGAUGAAAAGCACUUUGGAAAGAGAGUUAAACAGUACGUGAAAUUGUUGAAAGGGAAACGUUUGAAGUCAGUCGCGUCGGCCGAGACUCAGCCUUGCGUUCUCGCUUGGUGCACUUCUCGGUUGACGGGUCAGCAUCAAUUUUGAAUGCCGGAUAAAGGUCGGGGGAAUGUGGCAUCUCUCGGGAUGUGUUAUAGCCCUCGGUUCGGAUACGGCAUUUGGGAUUGAGGAACUCAGCGUGCCUUUAUGGUCGGGGUAUCAACCCACGUAACGCGCUUAGGAUGCUGGCAUAAUGGCUUUAAGCGACCCGUCUUGAAACA